UACAGAGGUCUCAAGCGUUGUCCGGAAUUAUUGGGCGUAAAGAGCUCGUAGGCGGUCUGUCGCGUCGGCUGUGAAAACCCGGAGCUCAACUCCGGGCCUGCAGUCGAUACGGGCAGACUGGAGUUCGGCAGGGGAGACUGGAAUUCCUGGUGUAGCGGUGAAAUGCGCAGAUAUCAGGAGGAACACCGGUGGCGAAGGCGGGUCUCUGGGCCGAUACUGACGCUGAGGAGCGAAAGCGUGGGGAGCGAACAGG
This 253-nucleotide ribosomal RNA is filed under the name uncultured bacterium. Its description in RNAcentral is "partial 16S ribosomal RNA". It matches the Rfam family "Bacterial small subunit ribosomal RNA", at positions 524 to 776 of the family's 1533-position model. The record is from RNAcentral.